Molecule: long non-coding RNA, 932 nt
Organism: Tachysurus fulvidraco (yellow catfish)
Lineage: Eukaryota; Metazoa; Chordata; Actinopteri; Siluriformes; Bagridae
Exons: 3
Source: RefSeq, a predicted model, not a curated record
GAACAAGCAGUAGUUUGCCAUUUGGAAAUGAAUUUUGUCAUGUAAACAAUAACUGUUGUGAAGGUACAUAGUCAUGUGGAAGGAAACAAGGAGCUUCUACCACUAAUUAAGUAGAGUACUGGGCGGGCAUCACCAUGACCACGAUAGUAUGGGCCAGAUUUACUGUGGGAAGGAGGACGUUUGGUCGGGCCAGUGCCACCAUGCUCUCGGCAUCUAGGAGAGCUCUGGGGGUUAAUCAAUGGGCCUGCUUAUGGAAGUCGCCAGCGGCAGCAAGGGGAGAUCGACCACAGCGGACACGAUUGCAGCACCAGAACUCGACUCUGAGCAACCCAGUCAUCAUCAGUGACAACCAUUUCAUGGUCUCAGGAGGGUUUAGUAGUCCAAUGACAUGCAGAAUAAAACCAUUCUAUCUAUUUGAUCCAAACUACGGUCUAUGCUUCAGAUAAGUUGUAUAUGUAUCGUAUGUUACUUUUUAAAAUGGUUUGGUUUACUGAAUUUUACUGUAUGAGCUUCCGAGCCAACUGAAAAGCUUUUGGUUAAUUGCAAAUAUUAUACAUAUAUAGAUGGUCUGUUGCUAUUAGCUUAGUUUGUUUGUGCCAGCAUGCGAAGAUGUUGCUUAAAUCAUGCACAACAAGUAAAACUCAACGCCAACAGGAAUCUUUGUCUCCCACGAGUCUCAGUCCUUUCAGGUGUUUGACCUUGCUGUGACAUUGAGACCCUGUUCGGAUCAAUUCCAAAAUGUAAUCUGCUGGUUCAACUGCUGGUGAUGAUGGUUAGAGAUUCCACAGAAAUCUGAGAAACAUUCAAUCACUUGCUUUUGAGAUACUGUACUAAUAAGACCCUCAAACAAACAAGCUGAUCAUACAAUGCAAAAAAUUAAUAGAAAAAUAUGAUUAUAUGGAGGGGGGCACGGUGGCUUAGUGGUUAGCACG